This 570-nucleotide ribosomal RNA is filed under the name Aureobasidium melanogenum. RNAcentral describes it as "partial large subunit ribosomal RNA". It matches the Rfam family "Eukaryotic large subunit ribosomal RNA", at positions 35 to 613 of the family's 3401-position model. Lineage: Eukaryota; Fungi; Ascomycota; Dothideomycetes; Dothideales; Saccotheciaceae. The record is from RNAcentral.
UUUGCAUAUCAAUAAGCGGAGGAAAAGAAACCAACAGGGAUUGCCCUAGUAACGGCGAGUGAAGCGGCAACAGCUCAAAUUUGAAAGCUGGCCUUCGGGUCCGCAUUGUAAUUUGUAGAGGAUGCUUUGGGUGAAACGCCAGUCUAAGUUCCUUGGAACAGGACGUCAUAGAGGGUGAGAAUCCCGUAUGUGACUGGAAAUGUUAACCUAUGUAAAGCUCCUUCGACGAGUCGAGUUGUUUGGGAAUGCAGCUCUAAAUGGGAGGUAAAUUUCUUCUAAAGCUAAAUAUUGGCGAGAGACCGAUAGCGCACAAGUAGAGUGAUCGAAAGAUGAAAAGCACUUUGGAAAGAGAGUUAAAAAGCACGUGAAAUUGUUGAAAGGGAAGCGCUUGCAAUCAGACUUGUUUAAACUGUUCGGCCGGUCUUCUGACCGGUUUACUCAGUUUGGACAGGCCAGCAUCAGUUUCGGCGGCCGGAUAAAGGCUCUGGGAAUGUGGCCUUCACUUCGGUGAAGGUGUUAUAGCCCAGGGUGUAAUACGGCCAGCCGGGACUGAGGUCCGCGCUUCGGCUA